This 595-nucleotide ribosomal RNA is filed under the name uncultured bacterium. Its description in RNAcentral is "bacterial SSU rRNA". It matches the Rfam family "Bacterial small subunit ribosomal RNA", at positions 249 to 858 of the family's 1533-position model. The record is from RNAcentral.
UUGGUGGGGUAAUGGCCCACCAAGCCCGUGAUCGGUAGCCGGCCUGAGAGGGUGAACGGCCACAUUGGAACUGAGACACGGUCCAAACUCCUACGGGAGGCAGCAGUGGGGAAUAUUGGGCAAUGGGGGGAACCCUGACCCAGCAACGCCGCGUGAAGGAAGAAGGUUUUCGGAUUGUAAACUUCUGUUCUUGGGGAAGAGUGAAAGACGGUACCCAAGGAGGAAGCCCCGGCUAACUACGUGCCAGCAGCCGCGGUAAUACGUAGGGGGCGAGCGUUGUCCGGAAUGAUUGGGCGUAAAGGGCGCGUAGGCGGCUUUGCAAGUCAGUAGUGGAAGUCCAUUUUUCAAGGAUGGAAGUGCUACAGAAACUGCGGAGCUUGAGUGCAGGAGAGGUUAUCGGAAUUCCCGGUGUAGCGGUGAAAUGCGUAGAGAUCGGGAGGAACACCAGUGGCGAAGGCGGGUAACUGGACUGCAACUGACGCUGAGGCGCGAAAGUGUGGGGAGCAAACAGGAUUAGAUACCCUGGUAGUCCACACUGUAAACGAUGAAUGCUAGGUGUAGGAGGUAUCGACCCCUUCUGUGCCGCAGUAAACAC